This 2342-nucleotide ribosomal RNA is filed under the name Campylobacter jejuni. RNAcentral's name for it is "partial 23S ribosomal RNA". It matches the Rfam family "Bacterial large subunit ribosomal RNA", at positions 1 to 2347 of the family's 2925-position model. The record is from RNAcentral. Lineage: Bacteria; Pseudomonadati; Campylobacterota; Epsilonproteobacteria; Campylobacterales; Campylobacteraceae.
AGGUAAGCUACUAAGAGCGAAUGGUGGAUGCCUUGACUGGUAAAGGCGAUGAAGGACGUACUAGACUGCGAUAAGCUACGGGGAGCUGUCAAGAAGCUUUGAUCCGUAGAUUUCCGAAUGGGUCAACCCAAUGUAUAGAGAUAUACAUUACCUAUAUAGGAGCGAACGAGGGGAAUUGAAACAUCUUAGUACCCUCAGGAAAAGAAAUCAAUAGAGAUUGCGUCAGUAGCGGCGAGCGAAAGCGCAAGAGGGCAAACCCAGUGCUUGCACUGGGGGUUGUAGGACUGCAAUGUGCAAGAGGUAAGUUUAGCAGAACAUUCUGGAAAGUAUAACCAUAGAGGGUGAUAGUCCCGUAUGCGAAAAACAAACCUUAGCUAGCAGUAUCCUGAGUAGGGCGGGACACGAGGAAUCCUGUCUGAAUCCGGGUCGACCACGAUCCAACCCUAAAUACUAAUACCAGAUCGAUAGUGCACAAGUACCGUGAGGGAAAGGUGAAAAGAACUGAGGUGAUCAGAGUGAAAUAGAACCUGAAACCAUUUGCUUACAAUCAUUCAGAGCCCUAUGUAGCAAUACAGGGUGAUGGACUGCCUUUUGCAUAAUGAGCCUGCGAGUUGUGGUGUCUGGCAAGGUUAAGCAAACGCGAAGCCGUAGCGAAAGCGAGUCUGAAUAGGGCGCUUAGUCAGAUGCUGCAGACCCGAAACGAAGUGAUCUAUCCAUGAGCAAGUUGAAGCUAGUGUAAGAACUAGUGGAGGACUGAACCCAUAGGCGUUGAAAAGCCCCGGGAUGACUUGUGGAUAGGGGUGAAAGGCCAAUCAAACUUCGUGAUAGCUGGUUCUCUCCGAAAUAUAUUUAGGUAUAGCGUUGUGUCGUAAUAUAAGGGGGUAGAGCACUGAAUGGGCUAGGGCAUACACCAAUGUACCAAACCCUAUCAAACUCCGAAUACCUUAUAUGUAAUCACAGCAGUCAGGCGGCGAGUGAUAAAAUCCGUCGUCAAGAGGGAAACAACCCAGACUACCAGCUAAGGUCCCUAAAUCUUACUUAAGUGGAAAACGAUGUGAAGUUACUUAAACAACCAGGAGGUUGGCUUAGAAGCAGCCAUCCUUUAAAGAAAGCGUAAUAGCUCACUGGUCUAGUGAUUUUGCGCGGAAAAUAUAACGGGGCUAAAGUAAGUACCGAAGCUGUAGACUUAGUUUACUAAGUGGUAGGAGAGCGUUCUAUUUGCGUCGAAGGUAUACCGGUAAGGAGUGCUGGAGCGAAUAGAAGUGAGCAUGCAGGCAUGAGUAGCGAUAAUUAAUGUGAGAAUCAUUAACGCCGUAAACCCAAGGUUUCCUACGCGAUGCUCGUCAUCGUAGGGUUAGUCGGGUCCUAAGUCGAGUCCGAAAGGGGUAGACGAUGGCAAAUUGGUUAAUAUUCCAAUACCAACAUUAGUGUGCGAUGGAAGGACGCUUAGGGCUAAGGGGGCUAGCGGAUGGAAGUGCUAGUCUAAGGUCGUAGGAGGUUGUACAGGCAAAUCCGUAUAACAAUACUCCGAGAACUGAAAGGCUUUUUGAAGUCUUCGGAUGGAUAGAAGAACCCCUGAUGCCGUCGAGCCAAGAAAAGUUUCUAAGUUUAGCUAAUGUUGCCCGUACCGUAAACCGACACAGGUGGGUGGGAUGAGUAUUCUAAGGCGCGUGGAAGAACUCUCUUUAAGGAACUCUGCAAAAUAGCACCGUAUCUUCGGUAUAAGGUGUGGUUAGCUUUGUAUUAGGAUUUACUCCGAAAGCAAGGAAACUUACAACAAAGAGUCCCUCCCGACUGUUUACCAAAAACACAGCACUCUGCUAACUCGUAAGAGGAUGUAUAGGGUGUGACGCCUGCCCGGUGCUCGAAGGUUAAUUGAUGGGGUUAGCAUUAGCGAAGCUCUUGAUCGAAGCCCGAGUAAACGGCGGCCGUAACUAUAACGGUCCUAAGGUAGCGAAAUUCCUUGUCGGUUAAAUACCGACCUGCAUGAAUGGCGUAACGAGAUGGGAGCUGUCUCAAAGAGGGAUCCAGUGAAAUUGUAGUGGAGGUGAAAAUUCCUCCUACCCGCGGCAAGACGGAAAGACCCCGUGGACCUUUACUACAGCUUGACACUGCUACUUGGAUAAGAAUGUGCAGGAUAGGUGGGAGGCUUUGAGUAUAUGACGCCAGUUGUAUAUGAGCCAUUGUUGAGAUACCACUCUUUCUUAUUUGGGUAGCUAACCAGCUUGAGUUAUCCUCAAGUGGGACAAUGUCUGGUGGGUAGUUUGACUGGGGCGGUCGCCUCCCAAAUAAUAACGGAGGCUUACAAAGGUUGGCUCAGAACGGUUGGAAAUCGUUCGUAG